GCGAAGUAAAAAAAAAAAAAACGAGAGAAAAAUCCCAAACCCCUCUCCUCUCUCUCUCCCUCUCUCUCUCUCCCUGCAUUAAAAUCAGAACCUCUUUCUUCUCUGCAAAUGGAAGUCUAUGUAUAGGCAUCGAAAUUUAAGAAAAUUACAAUAAAAUAUCCUCUCUUCUAUUUUAAAUCUCUCACAACCCUAGCAUUUCUUCUCUCAAUCUCUGGAGAGAGAGAGAGAGAGAGAGAGAGAGAGAGAGAGAGAGAGAGAGAGAGAAUUGCAGAGAAUUUUCAUAAUCCAUGGCAGCUGUUGCAGAGAAUGCGAUCGCCUCCAACGAUCAGUUCCGUCAUCGUUCUUCCACUGCUUCUGUUGGUUCUGCUGCCUCCGAUGAUUCGAAAUCCGAAUUCCAACGCGACGUUCGGAAGCUUGUCGAUUUGCUGUCCAAGUUGAAUCCUUCUGCGAAGGAAUUCUUUCCUUCUUCGUAUUCCGCCGAAAACCGGUCGCAGAGUAAGGAUUCCAUCAGUGACGGAUCGUCGAACAAUCGAAGGAGGAAGAAUAAUUACAAUCAGUGGAGGAGGAGGUUGAAUGGGAGAGGUCUUAGAGCUCAGAGAGAAGAUAGCAUUCGGCGAACUGUGUAUGUUGCUGAGAUUGAUCAGCAUGUGACUGAGGAGCAACUUGCUACUCUAUUUGCUCACUGCGGACAAGUAGUUGACUGUCGUGUUUGCGGUGACCCCCAUUCAGUUCUUCGAUUUGCAUUUGUAGAGUUUGCUGACGAGCAAGGUGCAGCAGCAGCCCUAAGCCUGUCUGGGACCAUGCUAGGUUACUAUCCUGUCAGAGUUUUGCCUUCAAAGACUGCUAUCUUGCCUGUGAAUCCAACGUUUCUUCCGAGGUCAGAAGAUGAACGGGAAAUGUGCGCCCGGACAGUUUAUUGUACUAACAUUGAUAAGAAGGUUUCUCAAGCUGAUGUAAAGAUUUUCUUUGAAACAUAUUGUGGUGAGUUUGUGCUGUACAGGUUUCUCGCCUGAGGCUUCUGGGGGAUCACUUACAUUCAACGCGCAUUGCAUUUGUUGAGUUUGUUUUGGUCAACUGACAUACCACCAGCUGAGAUGGCUGUGACAUUCUUCCCAUCUUGGAGGCACCACUGCAGCGACCACCCUCGUCAAGUUUUCAUGGAAGAACUCAGCUCCAGACAUGAAUAUAUUUCCUUCUGAAAUUGAGAGUCCAUCUUCAACUUGACCAUGUUGAAUCAGACCGUCUCAUCCAAGUGAGCUCCACAUAACAAGUGACAAGCCAAAACUCUCUGUUCUGGCCUGAAUGACUUCCUGACUAAAAAGAUUCCAACAAGCUGGUUGGUGACCGGAUUUUGUCAUUGAAGAACCCACUAAACUCGGCCUCAGUCUCUGCUGUCUCACCCAAAAAAACCUUUCUAGUUCCUGAAGUCCGCGUGUUGUUCAUGGUUUCAUCCUCAAUUUCAGCUAUGACAAAUGAACUGGAUGAGUAAUUCACCCAAACAUGAAGACGUGCAUGAGCAACUUGCAUUUUUCUUCACAGUUCAUGAAUGUCAAGAACUACAAACAUGAUGUGAGACUUAAGCUUCACUAAAAUGCUAGAUUGUAAAUAUUGGGUAUCAAAUAAUUGAAUAGUUGUGAAGUUCAUUACAUGAACUGGCUGGGAAUGUUUCCAAUUAAGCCAGACUCCAAUGUUUGUUUCCUGCAAUUUAAAAAUUGGUUCACCAAAAUUUCAAUCCCUUCCUCUUUUAUGGUGAUAAUGAAAUGAAGGGCUCCAGACAAUCUCACUACCACGAUAUUGAAAUGAGACUGGACACAACGAGCCCUAAUUAUCAGCAAUGUGAGUAUAAGUCCUCGAAAAACUUGGCUAGGCAACAAUCCUUUCAAAAUCUGACAGCCCCCCCUUACCAACUCGAAAUCAAACUGAAUUUCUCGGUUUAUCAAAUUAAUUUAUUAAAAGAAACAAAUUGAAGGAGUAAGAAUCAAACCCCAGCUUUCAGGAAGCAUAGCAAUGCUCUUAACCAUCAGAGUAUAUCUGUUUUAUAUUUCCUUCUACUAUAUAAAUAUUUUAAACAUUGAUUACCCUUCGUGCCAACCCCAAUUAGUUGGGAUAAGGCAUGGAUGAUGCUGAUGAUUACCCUUUGUAAUAUUUUUAAUUGAGUUGACUAGGGUCGAGUUUUCAAGUCAACCUGACCUGGCUGAACACCGUUUUGAGUCGAGCUUACGGGUUUUUGAACUAUGUGGGGAUUAGAGAAUAACAAGGGAGAUAAUGGGUGCUCUUGCCGAACUCUACACUGCACUUUGAGAAAAUGUUUGGGGCUUUUGUUUAUAAGAAUGGAGAACCACAUAGAAGACAUGCAAGCUUCAAUCCAUUGAGAAGGUAUUAGGGCUUGUUUGGAUGCACCCCCAUAGGUAGCCUCCCUUCCCAUAGUACUUAUUUAACAGAAGUUAGUUUGGUAGCACCUUCUUAAAAGUAGCUUGUUAGCUUAAACUUGCUUAUGGCCAUAAAGUAUUUUUUAUUUUGCUUUUUAUUUUUUUUUACUCUCACUCAUCUCUCGACCUGAUGGAUGGUCCACAUCAAAGGUGGGCUCCACAUGAUGGGUAGUGGACAUUGAAGGUGGGCUUCACAUGAUAGACAAUUAACAUUGAUGGUAGGAUCCACAUGAUGGAUCAACCACAUCAUGAUGGGUCCCAUAUAAUGUAUGGUACGCAUCAUUGGUUGGCCCCUAAUGAUGAAGGAUCCACAUCCAAGGUGGAUCAUUGAAGGUGGGCUUCACAUGAUCGACGAUUAACAUUGAUGGUGGGACUCACAUGAUGGAUCGCCCACAUCAAGAUGGGUCCCACAUAAUGUAUAGGCUGCAUCAUAGUUUGACCCCUAAUGAUGAAUGAUCCACAUCCAAGGUGGGCCUUGCAUGGACGGCCCACUUUGAAGGUGGGGCCCACACGAUAGGCGGUUCGCAUCAAAGGUGGGCUCCACAUGAUGGGCAAUGGACAAUGAAGGUGGAUCCCACAUGAUGGACAAUUAACAAUAAUGGUGGGCCCCACAUGAUGGAUAAGCCACAUCAAGGUGGGCCCCAUAAAAUGGACGGUCCACAUCAAAGGUCGGCUCCUAAUGAUGAAUGACCUACAUCUAAGGCAAGCCUUGCAUGAUGGAGGAUCCACUUUGAAGUUGGGCCCCUCGUGAUGGAUGAUCCACCUCUAAUAUCCAACACGAUGGACGGCCCACAUCCAAGUGGGCCCCGUAUGAUGGAUAGCCCACAAUCAAGGUGGGCUGAGCAAGGUGGAUGGUCCAGAUUGAAGGUAGGUCCCACACGAUGGAUAGUUCACAUUGAAGACAGCCAAGGUGGGCUAGCAUGGUGAACGGUCCAUAUCAGAGGUUGGCCCCAUAUGAUAGACGGUGGAUAUUAAAGGUCGACCCACAUGAAUUAGAAAAAAUUGGAAAAGAUUUUAAUGGAAGAGAUUUUAAAAAAAUGGAAGAGGAGAGAAAGAUGAGAAAGAGAGAUUAAUGGAAGAGAUUUUAAAAUUACUUUGUGAUGCUAGAAGCCAAACAUACUUUUUAACUUUUUGGCGGAUAAGUACACAGUUUACCAAAAAUACUCAUAUGUUGAAUAAAUAGAAACCAACAUAAGCUACUUGAAGCAUGAGUAGCUUAAGCAACGACUUAUGAUCCAAACGGGCCCUUGUGUCUGAUUUUUCCCUUUGAAUUUGGACCACUCAUUAUUUUACUUUUAACCAUCCAUUAGAUAGCCACUGGUUUGGUGGUUAGGGUUUCAUGAUUAGUGUCUCUCUCUCUCUCUCUCUCUCUCUCUCUCUCUCUCUAUGUGUGUGUGUGUGUGUGUGUGUGUGUAUAAUGGGACCUGCAAUUUCGAUGGUUUGAAUACUGUACAUCAACUGCCACAUGUGAGGAGGACGAGUCAGCACCAUUUUUUAGGUGCAAAACUAACAUAAGAAUCUAUCCCCCCAUUUACCUGCCUUGUUUACCCCUCCUAACUACUUUCUUCUGUCCUGACAGGCAGAAAGUGCUAUUAUUGCACUGAACUGUAGUGGGAUGGCAUUGGGAUCUCUACUCAUUAGGUA
Magnolia sinica is the source of this 4073-nucleotide RNA transcript. It is a transcript of the gene named polyadenylate-binding protein-interacting protein 9-like, with no coding region annotated. NCBI's taxonomy places the organism in Eukaryota, Viridiplantae, Streptophyta, Magnoliopsida, Magnoliales, Magnoliaceae. The transcript has 9 exons. The record is from RefSeq and is a predicted model, not a curated record.